Molecule: non-coding RNA, 1987 nt
Organism: Paramormyrops kingsleyae
Lineage: Eukaryota; Metazoa; Chordata; Actinopteri; Osteoglossiformes; Mormyridae
Source: RefSeq, a predicted model, not a curated record
CAAGAAGCCGCAUUUGUGUCACGUAAUGUGUGUUAGUGAGUCAGAGAGAGUGCAAACCCCAGGGGGCUUCUGCCAGGGUGAGGUGACAGCCCCCGAAACCCACAGGGGGUGCAUCUGUAGCAAAGUGCCUGCUCAUGGCUGAGUCGCUGUUCCUUAGUUUACCUUUCAGCAGCGCAGUACAGGAAGCCUGUAAAACGAUGCGCUGCCAAAUAGUUCUAAAUCUUUUGCAAGCUUUUAAAUGUGGCUUUGAGUCUUUCCUAAUAUUGCCAAUUAUGUGUAUAUUAUAAGAAUCCAUGCACUGUAUGUAUUUGCAUCCUGCCGCCCGGAAAGCGUAUUUCUGCAUGUUUUGUGCAUGUAAGCACUUUCCAGGGGCGCUGGCUGUAAGGUGCGUGCGGGCAGAUUGACGCUGUCUGUCAGGACGCGGUCUUGACGGUGCCGUGAGUCGGAGCAGGUCUGGAGCUCUCAAUCGCGCCCAGUGGGAGAUGAGUGCUGGUCUCCCGGGGAUGCCUCCGCCAGCUGGCUCCUCGCCGAUGAGCCACGCCCCGGCUGUCUGUAGCGGCAGCGAUCGCACUGCGCGCGCGUGUGUGUGUGUGUGUGUGUGUGUGUGUGUGCCAGAGUACAAGAAACCAAAGGCCCAGGAUAAAUGCUUUAUCAGGAGGAUCAGAUAAUCACGAUUGUACUUUGGAUUCAUUCCCCACACCAGUAUCCAGUGGUUUAGUAUCAUGAACUCCCUGGUCAUUGUGCUGUUCCUCUCCAGCACGGCGGCCGCGAUCACGCAGGGGACGCUGCUCAUAGACAUCGCCCGCUACUGCCAGAUGGACUCUGUCGUGAGCGAUUGCUUUUACAUAAACUUUACAUAAAAGAGCACCGAGUGACAAGGUCUUCCUUCCUUUCUGUAAUAAAUGUACUGACAGAAUGCUUUUAAAAUACAGCAUGCAGGUGGGUAUGGUGGAUGAUCUGCUCCCACGUUGCGGGCGUGCUCUGUGGUGGUGUGCUGACAGGCUGAGUGUGUUGUUUCUGUUGGCAUGGAGCAGGUGGAAAGGUCAGGUUCAUAUUCGGCAUCCAAGGAUUUAAUAAGCGUGGCUGUAACAACUGUUUUGGGUGGCUGGUUAGACGGGUUGAUUUUACUUUAGUAUCUGUGUAUGGCAAACAAGGGCCGCUUGCUUAAUUCUGGGCGUUUUACGGCACCUUCGUAUUUUAACGCUACUUUGCUCUGUCACCCAUAACAGAAGGGGUUUUCGGGUCACCCAGUGCUACACGCAUGUUAAAAAUUGCGUGUUAGCCUGCUUUAUUACUCAGAGAGGUGAUUAAUUGUUUCAGCAGCUCUCGCACGCUAGACAGACUGACGGUUGGAGUUAUCAUAGUGAUCAGCUGAACUAUUGACCCCAGUACAAGCUGUUUGAAGCAUAUUAACUGUAAUUGGUGCGCCGGUUAUGUUGCUCUUUCAUGAUCCUUUGUGCCAUUCUUCCAAGAGGAUGCCCAGGAGGAAUUUGGGUUGAAGCUGGAGUACGGAGAUGUCUUUCAGCCAGCGAGGAUGGGAACGCUCCUUUCGGUCUUUCCGGGGUCUGGAACACAGAUCUUCAUCAGCGUGAACCCAGCAUCUCAUGAUCCAGAAGAUGAUAUUUACACGGGGUCCUGUAAGGGGACUUUCUAGCUACUAAAAGACCAGGGGCUUGACUUCAUAUUUUUUAAGGAAACUUGGCAUCAGGGACACAAUACUGAUGGAUAAGCUUAAAAUACUCAGGGCUCCUAUAGCCCUGAGUGAUCAGACCUAAUGACACUCACAGGACCUGCAGAUUUGUAUCCAGUAAUCGGUUAGCAAACUGCUCUGCAAAUCAUAUGUGCCGAGUAGUAUUAGCAAACAGUAAAAAACUGGAGACUGGAGUAAUAAUAACAAAUACCCACCCUACAGUGUUCAUCUUAUAAGAUCUGCCUGGAAUAGACUGCUUUUAUAGAAAAUAAAGAUAAUGAAUUUUGUAUUAUGCGA